CACCUGUAUGAAUACUUUUAUGUAAAGUUAGAUGAAUUCUUUGAGAGAAUGAUUUACCACAGAUAUCACAAUAUCACAGCAAUAUGGCUUCUCCCCAGUAUGCGUACGGUUGUGAAUAGCCAAGUAACUGUUUGCAGAAAAUGAUUUGCCACAAAUAUCACAGUGAUGCGGUUUCUCCCCAAUGUGAAUGCGUUUGUGUCUAGACAACUCACUACUUUGGGAGAAUGGUUGACCACAGAUGUCACAGUGAUAUGGUUUCUCUCCUGUAUGAAUACGUUUGUGAGUAGUUAAAUUACUAAUCUGGGAGAAUGAUUUGCUACAAAUAUCACAAUGGUAUGGUUUCUCUCCUGAAAAUGAUUUCCCACAGAUAUCACAAUGAUAUGGUUUCUCUUCAGUAUGAAUACAUUUGUGAGUGAUUAGGCUACCUUUUUGAGAGGUAUUACAUUGAUACAAUGUUUUAUCUGUCUCGUUCAACAUCUCAUCAGAAUAAUCAAUAUAUUUCAGAUCUUUUGCAACUGU
Molecule: long non-coding RNA, 519 nt
Organism: Octopus sinensis (East Asian common octopus)
Lineage: Eukaryota; Metazoa; Mollusca; Cephalopoda; Octopoda; Octopodidae
Exons: 3
Source: RefSeq, a predicted model, not a curated record